CAAGUUGGUAUUUAAAGUUGGUCU
Molecule: microRNA, 24 nt
Filed under: Prunus persica (peach)
Lineage: Eukaryota; Viridiplantae; Streptophyta; Magnoliopsida; Rosales; Rosaceae
Description: microRNA miRNA_46
Source: RNAcentral